Molecule: long non-coding RNA, 702 nt
Filed under: Heterocephalus glaber (naked mole-rat)
Lineage: Eukaryota; Metazoa; Chordata; Mammalia; Rodentia; Bathyergidae
Description: lncRNA (ENSHGLG00100038321.1)
Source: RNAcentral
CUGGAGUGCCUGCACCCUGCGGUCCCCUACCCGGAACACCUGGGACAGACUGUCUCCAGUACCCGCCAGCAGGGCGCCAGGAAGUCUCCAUACUUGCUGGCUGUCAGGAUCUGACCCCCGGGGUCCCGACUAGGUGCAAAGGGGACGGUGAGAGGCACAGCUGUCUCCCCCAGCCUAAGCUGCUCAAGCUUCGCCCCAGCGCCCAGCCCUGUUUGGCCCCAAGGGUGACCCCCUCUCCCAGUAGCCAGAGCCUGGCAGGGGGAGACCCCAAGAAAUACAUUCUGAAGACUUUCUCAGACCAUCGCACUUCCUCCUGCCUGACCGUCAGAAUGGCUGAGUCUUCUUGACGUCUGUCACUUCAUCACAUCAUGUAUUCACCAAGGUGGCAAAUCCUUGGGCCUUCACAGUACAGCUAGAAGUUGGCCGCCCUGGCUAAGAUGUGUGCUGACUCCUGCCUUCAAGACACCAGCAACCCUGCUCUGCAGAGAAAGGAGAUAAGCCAAGACUUGUCCAGGGGCGGAGAUGAGCAGUGCCAUGAAAGGGGUCAAAUGGGAAGAGCUGCCAUGGGCUGGUGUGUCCGGAGUGUUUGGGAUGGGAAUAGCCGCUGCGCACGGGGCGUCUCCUGGGUACCAUGUGAUGCUCUGAGCUCUCUAAGCUGCUUACUGUUCACAGUAACCCUAGUUAGGCAGGUCACAUAGUAUC